AACGAACGCUGGCGGCAGGCCUAACACAUGCAAGUCGAGCGCCCAGCAAUGGGAGCGGCAGACGGGUGAGUAACGCGUGGGAACCUUCCCAAUGGUACGGAAUAGCUCAGGGAAACUUGAGGUAAUACCGCAUAAGCCCGAAAGGGAAGAUUUAUCGCCAUUGGAUGGGCCCGCGUAGGAUUAGCUAGUUGGUGAGGUAAUGGCUCACCAAGGCGACGAUCCUUAGCUGGUUUGAGAGAAUGACCAGCCACACUGGGACUGAGACACGGCCCAGACUCCUACGGGAGGCAGCAGUGGGGAAUCUUGGACAAUGGGCGAAAGCCUGAUCCAGCCAUGCCGCGUGAGUGACGAAGGUCUUCGGAUUGUAAAGCUCUUUUGCCAGGGACGAUAAUGACGGUACCUGGAGAAUAAGCCCCGGCUAACUUCGUGCCAGCAG
Molecule: ribosomal RNA, 436 nt
Filed under: uncultured bacterium
Lineage: Bacteria
Description: bacterial SSU rRNA
Rfam family: Bacterial small subunit ribosomal RNA
Source: RNAcentral